AUGGAGAGUUUGAUCCUGGCUCAGGAUGAACGCUAGCGGGAGGCCUAACACAUGCAAGCCGAGCGGUAUUGUUUCUUCGGAAAUGAGAGAGCGGCGUACGGGUGCGUAACACGUGUGCAACCUGCCUUUAUCUGGGGGAUAGCCUUUCGAAAGGAAGAUUAAUACUCCAUAAUAUAUUGAACGGCAUCGUUUAAUAUUGAAAGCUCCGGCGGAUAGAGAUGGGCACGCGCAAGAUUAGCUAGUUGGUGAGGUAACGGCUCACCAAGGCGAUGAUCUUUAGGGGGCCUGAGAGGGUGAUCCCCCACACUGGUACUGAGACACGGACCAGACUCCUACGGGAGGCAGCAGCGG
Molecule: ribosomal RNA, 351 nt
Filed under: Aurantiochytrium limacinum
Lineage: Eukaryota; Bigyra; Thraustochytrida; Thraustochytriidae
Description: partial Bacterial small subunit ribosomal RNA
Rfam family: Bacterial small subunit ribosomal RNA
Source: RNAcentral